CCUACGGGAGGCAGCAGUGAGGAAUAUUGGUCAAUGGGAGGAAUCCUGAACCAGCCAUGCCGCGUGCAGGACGACGGCUCUACGAGUUGUAAACUGCUUUUGUACCGGGGUAAAAUGCCUUACGUGUAGUGUUUUGAAAGUACGGUACGAAUAAGGAUCGGCUAACUCCGUGCCAGCAGCCGCGGUAAUACGGAGGAUCCGAGCGUUAUCCGGAUUCAUUGGGUUUAAAGGGUGCGUAGGUUGUUUUAUAAGUUAGCGGUGAAAUACCGAUGCUCAACAUCGGGGCUGCCGCUAAUACUGUAGAACUAGAGAGCGGAUGCAGCAGGCGGAAUGUGUAGUGUAGCGGUGAAAUGCAUAGAGAUUACACAGAACACCGAUUGCGAAGGCAGCUUGCCAGUCUGGAUCUGACACUGAUGCACGAAAGCGUGGGGAUCGAACAGGAUUAGAUACCCGAGUAGUC
Molecule: ribosomal RNA, 460 nt
Filed under: uncultured bacterium
Lineage: Bacteria
Description: partial 16S ribosomal RNA
Rfam family: Bacterial small subunit ribosomal RNA
Source: RNAcentral